UUAGAUGCGCUGUGGCACUGGAGAAGCCUCCUGCAUCCUGAUCACCAGAGAUGUCUGAGAGCUCCACCGUCUACACAGCUCCGCUCAAACGUCCUCCCUGCCAUGCAGUCGGUGUCCCCUGUCACCAAAGCCAUAUUCAUUGCUUUGUUUCUCUUCGCCAUCCUGCUCAUUCUAUACGUCAUCCUCUGGUAUAUAUGCCGAGACGCCGACAAUGACUACAUUUAAACAAGCGAAGGUCACUUAUCGAGGUAACAGAACUGUCCAAGGCUACUUGUUGAAUGACAGCGGAUGUUGCGUCUUCCAAAUGAAAGGUUGAUGUUUUAGCUCCUAUAUCAAUUUGAUGCAGCUCCAUGGACAGGUGAGGACGACCCCACCCCACCCCAGGCCUACAUACCUAUGGCAUAGAUAGAAGAAGCCUGUCCAACCAUUGCCAAAGAGACUGUUGGGCUCAGUGGGAUUCAUCAGACUUAGCGGUCAAACUGGGACAUGCUCUAACAGUGUGGUAAGAUGUGCUUGGAGGCCACAGAUGAGAGGAAGAGGAAGAUGGCAGAGAGCAGUCACUGCCAAGUGUAAACAACCAGGGAAGAGGGUGACUUCAUAAUCACCCUUCUCUCUGGUGGACUGUCCACCUAGAGGAUGGCUCAGCUUGGCCUUAGGAUAUAACCCGAAUACAUUGUUAAAUAUACUCUGUGUAAUGGUUACUACACCUGUCACAUUGCUGUAUGCUUUCCGUCUGUGAUGGUGGUAUUGUGAUAAUGAAAUUGUAACAUGUUGAGCUUAAUGCUAUCCUAGUUGUCUAAUAAAUGUUUUAUUUGGCAAGUUAUGCAGCAAUUUCUGUUAGACAAUACAUUUUUCCGUAAAGAUCCUAUGGACCCUAUAGAUACCUCCUUCACAUAGCUUGGGCUUAUAAAUACUAAUGAUGAUGGUACUACCUUCAUGUUAUAUUGCCUUAUAGACCUGCAUUCAAAGCAGACACUUUUUUUUAGCUUUGAAUCUGAAUGUGUGGUCAAGAUGACUUUGUUACAUUUUCAUCAGUACUUAAUAAUAUGUACAGUUGAAGUCGGAAGUUUACAUACACUUAGGUUGGAGUCAUUAAAACUCGUUUUUCAACCACUCUACAAAUUUCUUGUUAACAAACUAUAAUUUUGGCAAGUCGGUUAGGACAUCUACUUUGUGCAUGACACAAGUAAUUUUUCCAACAAUUGUUUACAGACAGAUUAUUUCACUUAUAAUUCACUGUAUUACAAUUCCAGUGGGUCAGAAGUUUACAUACACUAAGUUGACUGUGCCUUGAAACAGCUUGGAAAAUUCCAGAAAAGGAUGUCAUGGCUUUAGCAGCUUCUGAUAGGCUAAUUGACAUCAUUUGAGUCAAUUGGAGGUGUACCUGUGGAUGUAUUUCAAGGCCUACCUUCAAACUCAGUGCCUCUUUGCUUGACAUCAUGGGAAAAUCAAAAGAAAUCAGCCAAGACCUCAGAAAAAAAGAUUCUAGACCUCCACAAGUCUGGUUCACCCUUGGGAGCAAUUUCCAAAUGCCUGAAGGUACCACGUUCAUCUGUACAAACAAUAGUACGCAAGUACAAACACCAUGGGACCACGCAGCAGUAAAACAAGUCCUAUAUUGACAUAACCUGAAAGGCUGCUCAGCAAGGAAGAAGCCACUGCUCCAAAACCGCAAUAAAAAAUCCAGACGACGGUUUGCAACUGCACAUGUGGACAAAGAUCGUACUUUUUGGAGAAAUGUCCUCUGGUCUGAUGAAACUAAAAUAUAACUGUUUGGCCAUAAUGACCAUUGUUUUGUUUGGAGGAAAAAGGGGGAGGCUUGCAAGCCGAAGAACACCAUCCCAAACGUGAAGCACGGGGGUGGCAGCAUCAUGUUGUGGGUGUGAUUUGCUGCAGGAGGUACUGGUGUACUUCACAAAAUAGUUGGUAUCAUGAGGAAGGAAAAUGAUGUGGAUAUAUUGAAGCAACAUCUCAAGACAUCAGUCAGGAAGUUAAAGCUUGGUCGCAAAUGGGUCUUCCAAAUGGACAAUGACCCCAAGCAUACUUCCAAAGUUGUGGCAAAAUGGCUUAAGGACAACAAAGUCAAGGUAUUAGAGUGGCCAUCACAAAGCCCUGACCUCAACCCUGUAGAACAUUUGUGGGCAGAACUGGAAAAGCGUGUGCGAGCAAGGAGGCCUACAAACCUGACUCAGUUACACCAGCUCUGUCAGGAUUAAUGGGCCAAAAUUCAUGCAACUUAUUGUGUGAAGCUUGUGGAAGGCUGCCCGAAAUGUUUGACCCAAGUUAAACAAUUUAAAGGCAAUGCUACCAAAUACUAAUUGAGUGUAUGUAAACUUCUGACCCACUGGGAAUGUGAUGAAAGAACUAAAAGCUGAAAUAAAUCAUUCUCUAUACUAUUAUACUGACAUUUCACAUUCUUAAAAUAAAGUGGUGAUCCUAACUGACCUAAAACAGGGAAUUUUUACUAGGAUUAAAUGUCAGGAAUUGUGAAAAACAGAGUUUAAAAAUAUUUGACUAAGGUGUAUGUAAACUUCCGACUUCAGCUGUACAUACAAAGCUAAAGACCAUAAUCUACAGAGGGUAGUGCGAACGGCCCAGUACAUCACUGGGGCCAAGCUUCCUGCCAUCCAGGACCUCUAUACCAUGCGGUGUCAGAGGAAGGCCCUGAAAAUUGUCAAAGACUCCAGUCAUCCUAGUCAUAGACUGUUCUCUCUGCUACCACACGGCAAGCGGUACCGGAGCGCCAGGUCUAAGUCCAAGAGGCUUCUUAACAGCUUCUACCCCCAAGACAUAAGACUCCUGAACAUCUUAUCAAAUGGCUACCCAGACUAUUCACAUUCCCCCCCCCCCCACACACACCACUGCCACUCUAUGUUGUCAUCUAUGCAUAGUCACUUUAAUUAACUCUACCUACAUGCACAUACUACCUCAACUAGCCAACUAGCCGCCCCCGCACAUUGACUCUGUACCGGCACCCCCCUGUAUAUGUUAUUUUUUACUGCUCCUAUUUAAUUACUUGUUACUUUUAUCUCUUAUUCUUAUCCAUAUUUAUUUUAACUGCACUGUCGGUUAGGGGCUCGUAAGUAGGCAUUUCACUGUAAGGUCUACACCUGUUGUAUUCGGCGCAUGUGUCUAACAACAUUUGAUUUGUUUUAUACAGUAUAUAAUAUAUUCCCAGAGCAGAUGUCUGUAUGUUUUAAGUAUUCUACUGAUGACUAUGCGCAGAUGAGUUAUUUAACCUCUGGUGACCCCCUAUUGGUCUGUACUGUUCUUUAAUCCUGUAGAGAGAACCCCACAGAGACACAGUGGGGUAUGAAGAGGCUGCACACACCCUUUGAGGAGUCUCCUGGCUAGGUAGAAUAAGCCGCGCAGUGUUGCAGCUCUCCACGGCUCCAUGUUUCUAAUGGGAUUUCUUCGGAGGAUAAAUGGACCUCUGGAAAUUGCCUCUGAAAAUAUACUUCUCUCUGAGAUCAGUGGCCCACACCUGCACAGAGCCAUUAAUAGACUUCCCAUGACACAGUUUCAGUCCUACCAGACUCCAGUUAAUACAUUUCACAGACUAAAGAUAACAUUCAGCCUAGAUUAAAUCAACACCUAUAACAAUAAAUACGUGUUUUGUUCACCAAGUCAGCGUCUAAUUUACAAUAGUUUUAUGAUCACUCCUUUGCAAAACAAAUUCAUGCCUCCAUAAGUUUGUUUGAAAGAACAUACACUGAGUGUACAAAACAUUAAGAACACCUUCUCUUUCGACAUAGACUGACCAGGUGAAUCCAUGUGAAUACUAUGAUCCCUUAUUGAUGUUACUUGUUAAAUCCACUUCAAUCAGUGUAGAUGAAGGGGAGGAGACAGGUUAAAGAAGGAUGUCUAAGCCUGGAGAUAAUUGAGACAUGUUGUAUGUGUGCCAUUCAGAGGGUGAAUGGGCAAGACAAUAAAUGUAAGUGCCUUUGAUUGGGGUAUGGUAGUAGGUGCCAGGCGCACCGGUUUGUGUCAAGAACUGCAACGCUGCUGGGUUUUUCAAGCUCAACAGUUUCCCGUGUGUAUCAAGAAUGGUCCACCACCCUAAGGACAUCCAGCCAACUUGACACAACUGUGGGAGGCAUUGGAGUCAACAUGGGCCAGCAUCCCUGUGUAACGCUUUCAACACCUUGUAGAGUCCAUGCCCUGACGAAUUGAGGUUUUUCUGAGGGCGAAAGGGGGGAGGGUGGAUCGCAAUGUUAGGAAGGUGUUCCUAAUGUUUGGUAUACUCAGUCUAUAUUUUAGUUGCAACACUGCCGCUCUGCCACCUCUCAAUUGAGCACAUGCCAUGCAAUACCACUAGAUGGCGAUAUAACGUGUUAUCACUUUGACAUGCACACAAAAAGGUUUUCACCUACCCUGUCCACAUAGUAAAAGUGAAUUACCUCAUGUAACUGAACAAUUAUAGUCAGCAAAAAAAAGUUCACACUACAAUAUACACUUCCAAGUAUUUAUUAUAGUACCAUUCAACCCAUUCAGACCUGAUGAAAGGUCAAAACCUUCUUAUAAUAGACACACUAGGGAGCAUUUUUUCUAGUGUGCAGAGUCUUUUUUGCUGAUGAACAUUUGUGUACGGCACCUGCUCAAAACCGUUGGGUAUGCAAGUGUUCCACCAUUUUUCAAUAUAACUGCUUGAAAUGUUCUGUUUUACUCCAAUGUCACUUUCAGGGUUGGUCUGUUUCAACUAAAUGUUAUCUUCUGAGCUGCCUCGAGUAGAUAGUAACUCAUUACCCUCUGGCUGUGCUAUAGAGUGUAAAUAUGAUUAAAUAAAUACCCUUUGCGGUGU
Molecule: long non-coding RNA, 4801 nt
Organism: Salvelinus fontinalis (brook trout)
Lineage: Eukaryota; Metazoa; Chordata; Actinopteri; Salmoniformes; Salmonidae
Exons: 3
Source: RefSeq, a predicted model, not a curated record